RNAcentral lists this long non-coding RNA (1111 nucleotides) under Bos grunniens (domestic yak). RNAcentral's name for it is "lncRNA (ENSBGRG00000004036.1)". The record is from RNAcentral. Lineage: Eukaryota; Metazoa; Chordata; Mammalia; Artiodactyla; Bovidae.
AUGACUUUUGAGCCCCUUUUGGUCACCUUUAUGCCCCUUUGGCAUUCACACCAGGCCUGGCAGAUGCUAAAUACUCAUGGUGAAGAUGGAGAAUUCAGUGAAUCAUCUGUAAUUUUCCAGGGCCACUUUGCAAGGCUGGAUAAGUAAUCUGGAUUAACCGUGGCUGGUAAUGUGAGGUCCAACUGCUUUUUUGUAUCCCUCCCUACUUUAUUUCCUUGGACUCCAACCCCAAUAUAAAAGAGGUCUUUUAGUAUAAUAAUGUAGCAAAGUCAAGUUUACAGGCAAUGAGAAAGGUCUGCCUGAGCAGCUGAUUCUCAUCUUGAUGCAUCUGAUGAGGGCUUGAGAGGGCUACUGGGCCCUGGCACAUUACAUGGUGGGUGCCCGUUGAGUGCACACAUGCUCAGUUGCUCAGUCAUGUCUGACUCUUUGCAACCCCACAGACUGUAGCCCACCAGGCUCCUCUGUCCAUGGGAUUCUCCAGGCAAGAAUACUGGAGUGGGUUGCCAUUUCCUCCUCCAGGGGAUCUUCCAGAUCCAGGGAUUGAACUCGCUUCGCCUGCAGCUCCUGCAUUGGCAGAUGGACUCUUGACCUCUCCGCCACCUGGGAAUAAUCUGGGUCUCAGGGUCGACUAUUUCUUGGGAGAAAUGGCAAAAUGAGCGUCUGACAAGUUCUCCUGGGGCUGCUGGCUUGAAAAGGAGGCAGUAGUAAGAGAAAGAAGACGGGGCCAGGAUCUCUGCAUAGACAAGGCACCCAUAUCCUUAAAGGGAGACCCUUCCAGCUGGAGGAUGAGCAAGUGUUGGGUGGGCGAGUAGGAGGGGUGGGGGUUAGUCCGUGACAAACCCUCCUGGGCCUGUGGUUUACUAACCACCCUUCGACCCUGCCCAACCUGGGGCUCUGGCUUUAUUCCUCCCUGGGUUCAAUUUCUAAGAAAGGACUUGAUGUUCUUCCUGGAAAUGGCCUUGCUCUGGACUCAGGAAGGAGAUGGCUUGUCCAGAUGUCCAGCUGGCCCCAUUAAUAAGGCUUUGAACAGAGCCCUACAAAAAUAGAUCUUUCUAAGGCAUUUCUUCUGUGUCCCCUUUCUGCUCUGAAGAUCAAAUCCCUCACCCAGGUG